CUGGCAAGAAAUAUAGCUCUCUCCCCAACCACCAUCAUCUCUUUGUGAUUUGAGUAGAAACUCAACAGCUCUACCAAUAGCAAGACAGUUGUGGUAAGUCCUGCCAGCAGCUGUUAGGCCCCCAAGUGCAAACCAUGAGCCAUAGGUGAAACAUACUCCCCAAAUGCCUCUUUGUUUAAAUGGAUUUGCACUGCAUAUAUAAAAAAAGAUUUCCCCAGUGAAAUAGUAAUAGUGGAGUUGAGAAACAUACCAUGAGCCAUCAGGCAUUUGUUGGUCUUCAAUGUACUUGGUAGCAUUUGUGAUGAAAUUGUCUAUCUCCUUCGUCCUGUGUCGGGGGUAUAACUUCUUAAACAAAACCAGAGCCUGAAUUGCUGAUGCAGUGCACUCAACAUACCUGGAUCAUCGUUUUGUUAGUCUCCAAGGAAGUUAAAGCUAGUAGAGUUAGAAAAAAAAGCUGAUCUAUUAUCAAGAAUUUUACUCAUGCUCGAUGACAAUGUCUUCAAACAUUUCAGAGGGGUUGAGCAGCUGAAAAGAGAAGGGAUUGACAUUGAUUUAGAUUCAAAGAAUACAGAGAGAGAGAGAGAGAGAGAGAGAGAGAGAGAGAGAGAGAGAGAUAAAACGGAAACAUUAAAGUUACUUAAACAAGUUGAAGUAAUGUACCUCCAACCAUUCUGAAGCUCCUGCAGGCUCCCAGAUUGCUAAACCACCAUUUUUACUCUGCAGUGGUUUUGAAAACAAGGGUUAUUGAUACUAAGAAGUUAUAACCUGUUUUGUGAUGGGGACAACCAUGGAAUGGCCCAAGGAAGAUGAUUCUCACCUGUAGGGAAAGCAGGAUGUUGACAGAAUCAAAUAGUCGUUCGGGUUCCAUCUUCAUACCAACAAUUUCUGGUGCCAUCAUUGAAAAGAGAAGACAACACUGUAACAGAGGGGACUUCAGUGAGAAACCAAGUGACUUUAGUUAAUCUGCAAGCCCUGACUCAAUUAAGUGUUUGAACAGAAAAAGUUACCUUCAAACCUUCUGCAGUGCAAUCAGAAACUUGCCAACCAUGAUCCUGAUCUGAGAAUGUCCACGAACCUUUGGAAAUGUGGCGAUACAUGCUUUUAAAGUCACCAGAAGGAUUGUCCUUGACCUUCAAGAUUUCAAGCAGUAUGAAGUAAAUAGACCAUGAGAAACCCAAGUAGAUUCUGGUUAAAGUCAAGACACAAACAAUGGAAUUCAAGAUCAAACCUGAGAUUCCUUUAUGAAUUCAUGUCCUUUCUUGAGUGUAGGUCCAAUUUCAUCGGUCAUAUUGCAAGCUAGCGGUGCUUGAAGGGCAAAACCAGUGUCCCACUCUUGACUACCAAAGGUCUACAGCAAUCGACAAUUUCAAAACCAAUUAGGCAGGAGAGGAUAAAAGCAUAGCUUCAAACCAGUUGCACACUUGAAAUAUUUUAAGAAAAAGAUGAAAAGAUCAAAGCUCCAAGCCCAUUUAUGAGGUUAAGAUGAUGACUAGGUUCAAAAUAUAUAUACCUGAUGACAGUAUAGGUAGCGAAGAAUUUCUUUACGAUAUUCUCCAGGGAAUACAGUGUCAAGAUGCCCUGUAAUGUAUAGACACAUGACCUGAAUUUUCCAUGAAAUUAUUCCAUUGAGAAUGGUUGUUAAAAUGGUCCAUAUACAUGAUUUUAAGGAGGGUGAGAGGGUGUUGAGUAGACUCACCAGAGGAGGAAGGAAAUACAAUGGGCCAGCAUUUUCAGCAGGCCAAUGGCCAUCACUAGCCUGCAAAGCUGAAAAGAAAUGUGCACCCCUUCUCACUGCUGCUGUGAUUGUCUCAUAUGUAAUUUCUUCACCAUCCCCAACCUUAACUUGUGGUAUUGUUUGUUUGAAAUUUUUCUCUCUCAAAAACUGCAGUUUUUUUUGGCCAAAUGAAAUGGGAGUUAAUGAAGUGAAAGUUUAAAAGAAAAGGUAAAUUAACCUCAAUAGUAAGCAUCUAUUUAUACAAUUGUUCCAAGUUAAGAGAAUUAUUACAAUUUUUAAAGUGCAUAAUAUAUAUUUUGGGUUCAAAUCCUACAAACUUAAUCUUUUAGGAAAUUACUUGUUUAACAUGGUAUCAAAGCUCGGUUUUGGAAUCGGUCUUACCUCUCAUUAUCCGACAAUUUGCUUGAUGGUGUCUCAACCAGUUUAAAAGAAAAGAAAAGAAAAGGUAAAUUAACCUCAAUUGUAAGUAUCUACUUAUACAAUUGUUCCAAGCUAAGAGAAUCAAGAUAGAGUUAGCAAUUGUUAAACUGCAUAAUAUAUAUUUUGGGUUCAAAUCCUACAAACUUAACUUUUUAAGAAAUUAGUUGUUCAACAUGGUAUCAAUGCUCAGUUUCGGAAUUGGUCUCACCUCUCAUUAUCCGACAAUCUGGUGGUAUCUUAACCUAAGGCCUGGUGUAUGAGGGGAAUAUUGUUAGGUUUUCCCAUAUCUCUUAUAGAAGGAAUUGGGUGACUCUUUAUCAGUGUGCAUGAAAAUCUCAGCCUUCAAGCUAAUUUUUGGGGUGAUAAGGCCCAAAAUCACCCAAUAUAUUUUUUCUUUUUUACUUUAUGAUAUCAUAACCUCAUUUGGGAGUUUUGGGUCAAAAUGGCUCAUUUUUUAAACUUAAUGUUAAAAAUGGGCACAUUUUCAAACUAUUGUUCAAAAUGGCCUCUUUGAUGCCACGUAGGCGUCACAUCAUUAAAAAAUAUUUUUUUUUCGUCAUUAUAGUGAAAGCCGCAGUUGGGAAACGCAGCUUCAUUUUUGUACUAAAGCCGCAGUUGGGAAACGCGGCUUCAUUUUUGCACUAAAGUCGCAAUUGGGAAACGCGAUUUCAUUUUUGUACUAAAGCCGCAGUUGGCAAAUGCGGCUUCAUUUUUACACUAAAGCCGCAGUUGAGAAACGCGGCUUCAUUUUUUAACUAAAGCCGCGGUUGGCAACUGCGGCUUUAGUUAAUUUUUAUUUAAAUUUAAAAUUUAAUUAAAAAAUUAUUAAAUUACAAUUUAUGAAUGAAAUUUAAAAAUAUACUUAAAUAAUAAAUUAUUUAUAUUUAAAUUUAAAAUUCUAGUAUUACUUCAACAAACAUAAAUUGGUAAAUAGAAGAUAUUAUAAAUGAAUGUUUUAUUUAUUAAUAAAUUAAUAAUCUUAAAAUAAUAAAUUUAUAUAACAUAUAAAUAAUAUAUAAAAUUGUAUAAUUUAUUAAUUUAAGAUAUUUAAUUUGUUAAAUUUUAAGAUAUUAAUUUAUUUAUAUUAUGAUAAAUUUAUCUUUAUCGAAAUAAUAAUAUAGUAGUUAAUAACUGAGAUUUCAAUUAUAAUAUUUUUUUUUACUUUCCAAUUUAAUUAAAAACUAUUAAAUCACAAUUUAUGAUUGAAAUUUAAAAAAUAUACUUAAAUAAAAAAUUAUUUAUAUUUAAACUUAAAAAUCUAGUAUUACUUCAACAAACAUAAAUUAAUAAAUAAAAGAUAUUAUAAAUGAAUGUUUUAUUUAUUAAUAAAUUAAUAAUCUUAAAAUAAUAAAUUUAUAUAACAUAUAAAUAAUAUAUAAAAUUGUAUAAUUUAUUAAUUUAAGAUAUUUAAUUUGUUAAUUUUUAAGAUAUUAAUUUAUUUUUAUUAUGACAAAUUUAUCUUUAACAAAAUAAUAACAUACUCUUAAGCCGUAGUUGUCAUAUAUAGAUUUUUUUACAAAAUUAGUUAAUGAAAUUAAUUACAAAAAGUCUACUACAAAAUGUAAUUUUUAAUAGUUUAAUUAAAGUCACAAAAAAUAUCUACUAAACAUUAAUAUAGUGGAAAAUAAAAAACAUAUAUAAUCUCACAUGCCUCCACAAGAAGAGAACCUAUGUGUAACUGGUACUCUCUUCCUUUGGACAAGAACGCCGAUUGUGACCCUAUUGCUUGCAAAGUCCACAUGUUUGUGGAGUCCUAGUUUCCCUUGCAUCCAUCUCAUUAUGCAAACGACUUGAUUUUGGUCGACCAGAAGUUAGCCAUUUCAUUGAGUCUGAAGGCACAAUUAUCGGUCCAUUAUAUUGAGGCCACUCCAACUCAUCAAAUAUGGGAUAAAACAAGGGAGCCCAUGUUGAUAGGUAAGCACGUGUGGUGUAAUAACCUUGUACAAAUUGUCGAAAAUCAAUUGCUCGACAAUGACAAGCAGCAAGAAUGUGCGAACAUGGGAAUCAUAACAAAAGUGUUUUGUUACAUGUGCAAGACCCCAUUUGAAGGGUAACAUGAUAUAUGCGAGGUUUCCUAUUACUGCUUCCAACAGAGUGUCUAGUUUUAACAUGAAAACGUCCCGCCACAUGAUCAUACAAAAAAACCUCAUGUGCACCCACCUUAACAACUUUAGCCUUUAUCUUGGCGUCAAUAUGUGGAGUGAAUUCUUCACCUGAAGCGAGCCGACUAGCACCAUGCUCCCGCCUGACUGUGAAGUAACUGUUAACCCGAUAGAAAGUUAACUGGACUAAAGCUAUUAUUGGUAAGUUACGAGCACCCUUAAGGACACCAUUAAAAACUUCAGACAUAUUAGUUGUCAUAAUCCCAUAUUUUCGCCCACCAUCAUAUGAGAGUGCCCAUUUUUCAAGAGGAAUUUGCUCCAACCAAUUUCUAGCCUCGGCAUUUAUCCGGCCAAUUGUAUCCAUGUGAGAAAUAAAUUUUAUCAUGUGUGAUUAUAUAUAGGUUCUUGUCCAAACAGGAAGAGAGUACCAGUUACACAUAGGUUCUCUCCUUGUGGAGGCAUGUGAGAUUAUAUAUGUUUUUUAUUUUCCACUAUAUUAAUGUUUAGUAGAUAUUUUUUGUGACUUUAAUUAAACUAUUAAAAAUUACAUUUUGUAGUAGACUUUUUGUAAUUAAUUUCAUUAACUAAUUUUGUAAAAAAAAAUCUAUAUAUGACAACUACGGCUUAAGAGUAUGUUAUUAUUUUGUUAAAGAUAAAUUUGUCAUAAUACAAAUAAAUUAAUAUCUUAAAAAUUAACAAAUUAAAUAUCUUAAAUUAAUAAAUUAUACAAUUUUAUAUAUUAUUUAUAUGUUAUAUAAAUUUAUUAUUUUAAGAUUAUUAAUUUAUUAAUAAAUAAAACAUUCAUUUAUAAUAUCUUCUAUUUAUUAAUUUAUGUUUGUUGAAAUAAUACUAGAUUUUUAAGUUUAAAUAUAAAUAAUUUUUUAUUUAAGUAUAUUUUUUAAAUUUCAAUCAUAAAUUGUGAUUUAAUAGUUUUUAAUUAAAUUGGAAAGUAAAAAAAAAAUAUUAUAAUUGAAAUCUCAAUUAUUAACUACUAUACUAUUAUUUCGAUAAAGAUAAAUUUAUCAUAAUAUAAAUAAAUUAAUAUCUUAAAAAUUAACAAAUUAAAUAUCUUAAAUUAAUAAAUUAUACAAUUUUAUAUAUUAUUUAUAUGUUAUAUAAGUUUAUUAUUUUAAGAUUAUUAAUUUAUUAAUAAAUCAAAUAUUCAUUUAUAAUAUCUUCUAUUUAUCAAUUUAUGUUUGUUGAAAUAAUACUAGAUUUUUAAGUUUAAAUAUAAAUAAUUUUUUAUUUAAGUAUAUUUUUAAAAUUUAAUCAUAAAUUGUAAUUUAAUAGUUUUUAAUUAAAUUUGAAAGUAAAAAAAAUAUUAUAAUUGAAAUCUCAGUUAUUAACUACUAUACUAUUAUUUCGAUAAAGAUAAAUUUAUCAUAAUAUAAAUAAAUUAAUAUCUUAAAAAUUAACAAAUUAAAUAUCUUAAAUUAAUAAAUUAUACAAUUUUAUAUAUUAUUUAUAUGUUAUAUAAAUUUAUUAUUUUAAGAUUAUUAAUUUAUUAAUAAAUAAAACAUUCAUUUAUAAUAUCUUCUAUUUAUCAAUUUAUGUUUGUUGAAGUAAUACUAGAAUUUUAAAUUUAAAUAUAAAUAAUUUAUUAUUUAAGUAUAUUUUUAAAUAUCAUUCAUAAAUUGUAAUUUAAUAAUUUUUUAAUUAAAUUUUAAAUUUAAAUAAAAAUUAACUAAAGCCGCAGUUGCCAACCGCGGCUUUAGUUAAAAAAUGAAGCCGCGUUUGGCAACUGCGGCUUUAGUACAAAAAUGAAGCCGCAUUUGCCAACUGCGGCUUUAGUGCAAAAAUGAAGCCGCAUUUGCCAACUGCGGCUUUAGUAUAAAAAUGAAGCCGCGUUUUCCAACUGCGGCUUUAGUGCAAAAAUGAAGCCGCGUUUCCCAACUGCGGUUUUAGUACAAAAAUAAAGUCACGUUUCCCAAUUGCGGCUUUCACUAUAAUGACGAAAAAAUAUAUUUUUUAAUGAUGUGGCGCCUACGUGGCAUCAAAGAGGCCAUUUUGAACAUUAGUUUGAAAAUGUGCCCAUUUUCAACAUUAAGUUUCAAAAAUGGGCCAUUUUGACCCAAAACUCCUCAUUUGGUGGGAGGUGAAGGUCAUAUGGUGGCCCACUAUGGUCACUUUGUUUGAAGUCAAGUGGUUUCAAUACAUGUUUCUUUUCCCAAUUUAUCAAGUUCGCAUGCAAGCCUGAAAAUAGAAGCUGCACAUGUAAGAGGGAGAGAGAGUGAGAGAUUAUGGUUGUUUGGUGGUGAAAACAUGAUUCUAAAGAGGACCCCAUAUCUUGCGAUUUUUUGGGUUCCUUUUUUCAUAGAAAUCAUCACCCAUAAUCAAAUAAAUGGAAACAAAACAAGAAAAGCUAUGUAGCUAGACUACGUAAAACAACAAGUAUGUAUGCAUGGAAGACACAUAUAGUCAGUGAAAAACUGCAAUCUAGGACGCAGAUGACAGAUCAAUAUCUGUUGUGAUAUCAAGACUUGAGAUAGAUGGGAUCAAAUCACCUGCAUCCGCCAAAGGAGGUCGCUGCUGGGCUUAACCUGAAACCGGUUUUUCCAGAAAUUUUCACGAGCUGCUUCGACCUCAGCUCGCUCUUCUGGGGUCCCACAGUCAGAAUCAAACUCCCAUAUCUGUCUUCCCACGAAGUUGUUGGUGCUGUAGAUGUAGGGAUCAUUGCCUCCAUCUGCAACCUUGAGCCUCCACAUUUUCUAACUCACCAAACAGACGAGAUAUAUCUCUAUAUAUAUCUAAGUUUACAAAUAAGUGUCUCCCUUCCGAAAACACCUGCUGAUCAUGAAAUCACCAGAAAGGUAAGACAAGCUUUUCUUUGCAGUAAAAUUAAGUUAAAAUGAUACAGACCAAGGAUAGAGAGAUAGAUGCUGGGUGGGCAGAGAAGAGAGAGACUUCAGAAACUUGGAAUGGCGAGUUCCAGGUGGGAAUCACUCAUUCAUAUAGAAGCAGAACACCAAGUCAGUCACCAACCCCCAUCACUUCUAUUAAUUCUUUUUUCACCCACUUCAAGUAUUUAAUGCAAAUUUUCACCAACCCCCACCAAGUUUGUGGAAUUUUUUGACUUUCAAGUAUUUUUUAAUUGAUGUGUUUUUUAAAAGGGUUAAACCAUUAAAGAACUCAAUGCAUGGAGUCCAGGGACAGUCCCUGAUAGAUAUCAGUCAUUCAAUCCUAAAAUUAAUAUACUUUAAAACAUACAUGAAGAAAUGACACAUCAAUUAGGUAUAUAGCAUUCAAAUUGUAUCAACUAAUAUGUCCAAUUAAAGUCUCAAUCAAAUUGUUGCCAUCAGUUAUAAUUAUGGUUCUUGUGGUUGUUAUUAGGAGAAAUGGCCACCAGUAUUUGAACAUAGAGUAGAUGUGAAUCAUGUGAUAGCCUACUUACAUAACUCCACACCCAACCAAAUCAACAACUCACUAUUUAAGACAAAUAUAACAAUGUGUAAGGCUAUUCCAAUGGUUCUUCCCUCUACUAGAUUAUUCAUCCAAGAACGUAAUGGCUAGUUUAUUUUCAUAGAAUCAUUCAUAAAGUAGGAAAAAUUUUAUUCUUUCCAUUUGUAUCAGCAUAAUCGAUUGAUUAGCUAAACUAAGGCCAAAUUAGUUGACUUGCUUUUCCCUUUCUACCCAUAGUUUUAUAUAUUUUCUAAAAAUCAAUGCUAAUCUAAUGAGGGCCUACUAUAGUUUCAUUUUCUUGUAUAAAAUAUUCUUCAAACUUCUUAUGUUAUUAGAAUUCUACCUCACAAUUCAAUCUUUUCACCAAUGUGCAAACUUGGUAUUUGUGAAAUUUCAAAUUUUCAAUCUUUUCACAAUUUCAAAUUUCUACCAAGUAUCUUCUUUGGAGAUCUUAAUAUUUGCCUUUAAUCAAGAGUCUUUAUCCUGAAAAUCACCUUACAAAUGUUGGUAAGAAGGAAGUGAAUCCAAGCUACACAAUCUGGGUGAACAAUGAUGGCCUCCCGUCUUAACUUAUAGGGUUGAUAAAAAAAAGAUGAAGUAUUACCAUUGGAGGACAAUCUAGUUGAUAGAUCUGGAUUUUUUAUUGAAGAACAACAAACACAUCAAUACCAAUUCCUCCUCCUAUCAUUCUUGACACAUAGCCUACAGUUACUAUCACUACACUUCCAAUCAUAGAAUCACCUUUUCCUUUCCACGAAAUCCAUUCCAACCACCUUUACACCUGAUCCUUCCUCUCCACCAUACACUCCACACUAGAUUUAACGAACCAAUUACUUACCAAUCUUCCAACUGCCCCAACUUCUCUAUGAACACAACCUAUGCCUGACAAUCCCUCUCCUUCACCAGAACAACCCACACAACUUCCCACUAGCAUUAACACUCAUGGCUUGUCACCUAUGCAAAAUUGAGACAAAAACGUUAUUUGGCUCUCCAUGCUAGUCAUUCUACUCGUAUUGAACCUAGAACUCUUAAAUCAAAACUUAAACAACCUCAUUAGGUGGUUCAUAUGGAGGAAGAAAUAAACAACUAGAGGUUGAAAAUGUCUUCUUAAUUGACUAUCUUAAGGAAAUGAUUUACAAGGAGUAACCUCCAGGGUUUGUUAACCCUAAUUUUCCUUCACACGUUUGUCUUCUUAAAUGUUCCCUAAAUGGCAUGAAGCAAGCCUCUUAAGUUUGGUUUAAGUGUUUAUCACAAGCUCUUAUUCAACUUGGUUUCUUUGAUACCAAGAAUGACUCAUCAUUAUUUAUUUUGCAUACAAGUUCUCUAAUUGUUUUAAUCUUAUUUUAUGCAAAUGAUGUUAUUGUAAGAAGUAGCAACCCUUGCUAUAAUUCAAUAUAUUAUUACUACUUUCAACUCUAGAUUUGCUUUAAAGACCUUGGCUACCUAAAAUAUUUCUUGGAAAUUGAAGUUAAAUAUUUUCAAGGUGGUUUUUUAUGGACCUACAUUUUUCACAUACGUUCCUACUCGAUAGCGAGACUCGUUUUUUAAUGAAAAAUUGAUUUUGAAAAAGUUAGAGUCACCAUUUAUUUUUGUUUAUUUUUUAAAGGGAAAAAAAUAAAAAAUAAAAUCUAAAAAUGACUUUUUAUUUGGAAAAGUAUGUCUUUCAAAACUAGGUCCAAAUCCAGGAUUCAUGUUAUCUAUCGAGAAGGUACCAUAAGGUAGCACUCUUCUAAGCCCUAAAUAAAGGUCUCUACUAAUUAAAUUGAGGUAACUAUGACAAUUGAUUUGUAAAUCAAUGGAUGCUAAGAAUCAUGAGAUAUAUAUCAUAGUAAUAAUGAAAACAUAAUUAAAAAUCACUCAAACAAGCCAUGCACACUCAAAGAGUCACAUCAACAAGGAAAGGAAGGAGCGUACCUUAUAGCAUGCUAAGCAUUCUUAUAAAAUAACAUAAUGUUAACAAAUAAACCAUAUCAAGGAAGCAUUCAAAACAAUACAUGCAUACUCAAAGAAUCAAACAACAGAAAAAGAGAGGAGAUAUACCUUGAUAGCUAGCAAAGCACUUUCAUAAAAUCAUUUAGGGGUAGUUCAUAAGUAAUAAUAAUAGCAGAUAUAAAAUCAUAGGUAAGACCUCACAAUAGAUACAACAUAUGCAUAUCUCAAAUCAUGAAAUAAAGAGAUGAUAAGGUAUGAACAAGAUGAAACAAAAUACAAUACACAUGCUUAAAAUUUCAGAAUUAGCUAACAAGUAUUCACUCACAAAAAUUAGUCUAAAUAAAAUAUCAAAUAAAGAAUCCCAAUCCAAAGAAAGGUUCAACUAAUGUGUAUAAUAUGUCUACAAUGUAAAUCAAUAAUCAAAAGCAUGCAUAAAGGGGAUCGAAUUAUAAAAAACCUACAGACUAUCAUCAAUAGGGCAGAACAAGGGUAUUUACAAAAUAAAUCUUAAAUAAAUACCUAAAAUUCUUAUUUUAUCAAAAUAAAAAAUGGAGAACAUCUUCAAUAUGUCUAAAUCAAAAUAAAAAAAAUUCCAAAUUAUUUAAUUAUAUGCUAUUCAAUACCAAAUUAAAUCAAACUAAGGACACUACACAGAACAUUCAACAUAUGAUUAAAACAAAGAUGUUCAUGAAAUGGAUUCUAAAAAAAUAUCUAGAAAUAGAAUUUCAUCACAAAAAAGGGACAAUAUCUCCUAUGUCUAUAUAAUAACCCAAAAGAUCACAUUAUUUAAUUAUGUUCCAUUCAAUACCAUAUUUCAUCACAAUUCAUAUUGGUAAAAAACAAGACAAAUUACAAAGCAUACAAGAAUUAAUUUAUUUGGUGAAUUUAGAAGUAUGUUAAAAUCACAUAAAAAGUUAUACAAUUUCUUCUAUAUGAUUUCAUUACAUGAAAAAUAAUAGCGAGAUUAAAUCAUACAAGAACUUAUUGAAAUUCAACCAAAAAAAACCUUAACUAUAGAAUAGAGCCGAUGUAGUGGGUGUAGAAAUGAAAAUUUAUUUCUCCUACUUGGGAGGUAAUUUUUGAGUGUCAUAGGGGUCUAAAUUAUAAUUUAUGAAGUUUAGAUUAAGGAAAAAACAUCAAAAUAAAUUAAUUUUAAAAAACUAUUUUGGGUAUCUAGAAUAGUGCUGAAAUUAGACCUAAUGAAAGACUAAUUUAAAUGCCUUACUUAGAGAAGCGUUUCAAGCUCAAAAAUAAAAUAAAAUAAUUUCACAUAGUUAAGAAUUCUAAAACAAUAACCAAGCAUUGAAAAAAAUUUAAAAGGUCUCUAAGUGGUCGGAUUCUAAUUUACAACUUCAAAGGUGCAGUGGACUAACAACAAUGGCAAUAUAGAACUGAUUUUUGGAAAACUUUGAAUUAAGGGAUUCACUAGGUCCCUUUUAAAUUUUUAUGAAUUUAUCUAUGCUUCAUUAACCUCAUGUGAGCAUGAACAAGCUCACUAAGGCUAGGAAUGACUCCAUUGAUUGGAGCUAUAAAUUUAAUUCAUGUAUGAGAAAAAUCGAAAAUAAAUGAAACCUUUUCAAAUAUGCAUAUCAAAUUAAAUGAACAAGGUAGCAAUUUUUAUUUUUUUAUUAUUUUUAAAUAGUCUUCUUUUCACCUAAUUGAUCUAAUAUGGAUUUGAAUAGUGAACUUUCAUGAUUCACUUUGUUUUAGAAACAAUUAAAAAUACUUUCAAAAUCAUUAAAACACAUAAAAUCAUAAAUCACUAAAAAGGCACCUAAAGAUCAUUGUGUGUGUAUAAAAAAUUGAGUGUUCAAAGUGAAGUGAAUUGCGUAUUUUGUGCAUCUUAAAAAUGACUAAAAAAAUGACCUGAAAGUGUGCCAAAACUAAGCCUCUAAAGUGACAUAAAAAAGCAUAUAAAAUUGACUUAAAAGUGAAAUGAACAAGUGAUACGGAAAAUAGAGAUACAUGGUGAACUCAACUAAUGACCUAUAUGUGUGAUUAGUGAUGAAAGAUUAUAAGGAUCAACUAACCUAAAAAUAAAAAUUAAGAGACAUGAAUCAAUACAAAAACACUAACAUUCAAAACCUAUUUUCAUGAUUUUUCAAUCGCUUAUUUUUGGAAAAACAAAUUUAAAAGAAAAGAAACCUAAUCUUAAUUCUAAAAUUAACUAACAAACAUUUCACAUUCAAGCAACAUAUCAUCAAUUAAUCCAACACUCAUGUGUGUCCUAUUCCUCCACACCCAACCUAAUCUAAUAUAUCCAAAAUCAUGAAAAUGAGAAGAAAUAGGAAAAAAAAAAAAAAGAAAUCAAAACUAAAAUCAAAAUUCAGCAACUUACCUCAAAUUAACUUUCUCUUCAAAAUUCGGUGGGGUCCUUUUUACUUUUCACAAAUCUAAUCUAUGCAUCUGUGUGUUCUCAAUGGCCGAUGCAUGCCUUCUUCUCCAAUAUUCCUCUACUGCAUCUCUUAAGGAUCAAAUUCUUCUCCAAUAUUCCUCUACUGCAUCUCCUAAGGAUCAACGUUGCUGCAUGUUUUCUCUCUCCUUUACCAAAUGCUGCUACAUUUCAUGCUUGCAUCUUCACUUUAAAAAUUAUGUUGUAACUUUCAAUUAAAGGCAUGCACUAAUAGCUCCACAAUCAACCCACUCUAAUCAUCAAUUGUGUACAACCAACUCAAGAAAAACAUGAAUAGUGUUUUUUUCUCACAAAUUUCAUUUAAAAAAAUUAUUCCUUAUCUAGAAACUUCCCUCAAAUUAUGCCAUGCCAAUUUGUGGACCUGCAUUUUUCACGUGUGUCCCUACUGGACGGCGAGACUCACUUUUGAUUUGUGAAAAACUACAUUUUCAUUAAAAUUUGGACUCACCGCUUACUUUUAUUUAUUUUUUAAAGGGGAAAUCAAGUAAGAACAAAAUGUCUGAAAUGACUCCUAAAUUUUGGAAAAGCUAUCUACGAAAAACUUGAGUCUAGGUUCAGGGAUCAAGUAAUCCAUUGGGAAGGUACCUCCAAAGAGAUAACACCCCUCUAAGCCCUAAAGAGGCCUCUACUAGUUAAGUUGAGGGAAGCAUGUCAAUUAGUCAGUUGAUUGAAGAUGCCUAAGUAGGUUAAGGUAAUUUCAAAACUUUGAUAAUUCUAAAGUGUCAAACAAGGAUUCAAAUCAUAAUCAUAAAAAGAGGAUAAUAUGUGUAUUUGGAUCAGUAACUUAAAUGCCAUCACAAAACACCAAAGUAAGUUAAGGUAUUAUAUCACUCAACAUGCAUUUUAUCAAAGGAAAUCAAAUGAAUAUCAAGGCACCCGAAGUCAAUUUCAAACAUGGAUAUAGUUUCCAAUGACAUACAUAUUCAUGGAACUUUGAAAUGGGAAGAUAAAGAGCAUACCUAAGUGCCAAGCAUUUGUGCUUUUAUAAAAAUGGGGUUAACUCAAAAAUAAUAAUAAUGAGAUUAAAGAAUAAUAAAAAUAAAUAAAUCUAUAUAGAUAUAUAUAUAUAUACUUAGCAUGUCUCAAAUCAAGGAAAAUUCAUAAGCAUAUUCAAAAGUGACCAAAUUAUCAAAAGGAAAGGAAAUAUCAUUAAAAGGGUAAAAUAUUGGUUCACAAAAUAAACUCCAAAUAAAUAUCAAGAAAGGUUAUCUCACCAAAAUAAAAAUUAGGCAACAUCUUUAACAUGUCCAAAUUAACAUCUGAUAGGCCAAAUUAAUCAAUUAUAUUUCAAUUAAUAACAAAUUGAUUCAUAAAUGGGUUACUUCACAGAAAAAAGUCAUCAAAUGAUCAAAAUAGAAGACUGUACAAAAUAAAUCUAAAACAAAUAUCUAGAAUCUAAGUUUUAUCAUGAAAAUUUUCAAAGAACAUUUCUUAUAUGUCUAGUUUAUCAUCUAAGUGACCAAAUUGAUUGACCAUCCCUCAUUUAGUACCAGAUUUCAUAAUGAUGAUAAUAGGUCCAAAACGUGGCAUCUUUUUAAGGUAUUCAACAAUUGAUUUUUCCGAUUAACUUAUAGAUGUCCUAAACUCAUAAAAAUAAAAUAAAAAAUUCACACAACUAUCUAAAUUUUCUAUUUUAUAGGAAAAAUAAUCAUAAGGCAAUAACACAUUCAUAUUUUAAAGUAAAUAAACAUCUCUCUACUUUAGAAGAGCCCUCAUGCAGUGUGUGCAACAAGAAAAAAUUAUAUCUCUUAUUUUAGAAAUCAUUUGUUAAUAGUUUAUGUAUCAAAAAUUAAAUUCAAAAAGUUUAGAUUAAGAGAAAAAUGUUCAAAGAAAUUAAAGAGAUCGUUUAGUAAUUUAAUUUUGUAAAACAAAACUGAGUGUCAAAAACAGAGUGAAAAGUGAACCUUUUGAAAAAUUGAUUUAUAUCUCCUAAUUGGAAAACCAUAUUUGACCCAAGAAAGAUUCUAAAAUCAAGUUCAAGGAGUCUAGAAUGUUAUAGAAUAGUUAGAAAAAUUUUAAAGGGUUUCUAAGUUGUUAGAUUCCAAUUUACAGAUGCAGAAGUACAAUGUACUGUAAUGAAAAAUUCUAAACUAGCUAAAAUGAAUUAAGAUAAAUCAAGACAAAUUUCAAAAUAAAAACUGCAUCACCUAGAAUAGAAGCCAAUUUACCAAAAAUAUAAGAAAUACUCAAACUAAAAGAAUGGGAUCAAACCAAAUCAAAGCAUUAACUGUAACACCAAGGAUUGAUUAAAUUAAUGAUGAAAAAUCAUAAAUGGGCCUAAACUAAUAGAACAAAUUAAACUAAACUAAAACAAGAAUUUAAAAACAGAACUUACGUUCAACCGUGUAAGAGGGGCUGCUAUUAGAACGCUCUUAAUCCUUCCAAUCUGAUGCUUUAUAUGCUACAUUUUCUAAAAGAAAAUCCCGAGACAUCCUCAAAGUUGCAGCUUGUUGUCAUCUUCUUUGCAUGGUAUGGUUGCCCUCCAAAUUUCAUCAAAAUGUGUGGAUGGCUUUCACAAAAUCUGGUGGUGCCAUAUUCUUAAAGUGGCAACCUUUUUUUUUUUUUUUUUUUCCAAAAAAUAAGCUGAUGUGUAGUGGAGGUUCAAAGUGGUAGCCUUAUUCUCAUCCUAGUAGUGCGUGGUGGAUACCUCUCACAAAAUCUGGUGGUGCAAAAAUCUGUGCGUGUAGGGGCUUUUUGAGUGGCAGCUUGUUGUGUAAAAUCCACAGAUGCAGCCUUGAUGGAGAUCUCUUGGUGCGUCAGUUAAAGCUCCAAUCCAUAAUCAGUCCGGUGCGUCUUUAGGAAGAUUUGGACAUUCAAUGCAUGCAGUUCCCUAUUCUCUCUGAGUAACAAGGACUGUUCAAGCUUUAACUCAGCAAAAGUAUAGCCUGAAAAUCAUAUAUCAAUGAUUAUGGUGCAUUCUGUUGCUUCAAUUGAUAGAAGCAUUGCUGCCCGACCAUAUGUCAUGCCACUGUUUUGGUUCCGACAAUUUCCAUCUUCUCAUUCCAUUUUCCAGUAGAAUUUAUGUGGAGAUAUAUAGUCUUUGUGGGGUUGUCGAAAUCCAACCACGUGAAUUGAGAGUAAGAAGCUCAGCUAUUAUAGGUAUGACGGGCAUGCCUAAACAAUAAUUUCAAGUUUCUAAGAGCAGUAGAUCCCUUCACAUCUUCAGAUUUUAGAAACAUAGGCCAAAAAAAUACUCAAGAUUUCUCCACCCCGCAACCAUUCCAUCGCAAUUGUAAAUAUGCAGUAAGUAUAACCAGUCCAGUCUUGUGCCAUUGUAUUGGCUUUCAUUUUGGGAGCAAAUCAUCACCAGUAGGUCUCGAAAUGGAAAAGUUAGUGGCUCUCUCAUCUUCUGUAACUUUGUACAUAUCUGUCCAAUUAACUCUAGGCUUCAUUAUAGAUAUUACAGUGUUGCGAGCCACAAAAAUGAUAUAUAGCUCCCAUGUCAAACAAUGCCGCAUCUCCAUCCUCAGAGGUUUUACCAUUUAGAGCUGUUGUGUGCCCGUAAUGGAGAAUAGCACCACUUUUCCCGCAACUUGUUCACUUCAAGAAUGCUAAAGUUACUCUAGUGACAUCCUCAGCAAUCAUAAACAGAGGAGCUCUCAAUGGUCUUUUCUAACAAAAGAAUUAUGCUCUUUAUCAUUGAAAUCUUUUGCUUUGUGUCCAACACUCUUACAUUCUCAAGUUCAACAAUCAAUUUCUCAAGGUAUGUAACAAACCAUGGGGAGAUAUAUCUUCUGUCAAUCUUUGUUCCUUCUUCAACAUCAACAAUUAUUUCAAGAAAGAAUGAUGACUCAACAAAUAAGAGACCGUUUGGCUCAACCCAAUCAAUUGCAUCAACAAUCUUGAACUCAAUGAACUGUUUAUUUCCCACAGACACAGAAGCAAUAUCUUUGGUAUCAAUAUUGACUUCAACAAGUUGAGCUUACAUCUCCAACUCCUUCACUAACUCACGUAUAGUUUUGUAGUUCCCUUUUUCUAUGAAAACUAGAUUUGGACUAGAUUUAACACUUGGCAGGCCCAAGGGCAUGAACCAGAAGUAGAGGAAAGCAACAAAACCAUGGCACGAAUGGGUAAAACAAAAUGGACUAACAAAAGCCACAUUUCAUGUAUGCCUAAACAACAGAUCAAGAACAAGUAAUACAAACUGAGAGCAGCAAUAUGAUUAUCAAAUGCCAAACCUAAAGAUAAAUCCAACUAUUUACAAGGGGAAAUAAAAGAAUCCAAAAUGUGACCAGAACAUAGCAUGUAUGCAGACAAAUGGAUACAGUCAAAGUAACCAAAUAACUCCUGAUGUCCACACCAAAUCAACAAGAUAACGUUCAUAAAUAUGAAGAAAAUGAAAUAAAACAGUAUUGAAAACAAGGAAGAAAUGAAACUCAUAGAGUGAUCUUACUUGGAAGGCUACACCCCGAGCAAGGUGUGUUCGCCUUCCACUCAUCAGGAAAUGACCACUCUUUAAUAGUGGUGAUGUUGCUGAUCUCUCAACAUGCCACCAUUUUUCUAAAUUUCUAAUUCCCCAAAUCACGUGCCUUCUCAAAAGAACCUGGAGAUCCUCCUCCAAAGCAGUGUUAGCUUGACUUCAAGUGAGACCCACCUCCAAAAAUUGGCAAAGCCAGUCAAGCUUCGUCUCUUCUCCUCCUCUACCUCUAGUUUUUAUCUCCAUUUCAAACUAGAGAAUCCAUUUUUCUUCGUUCAAACAUCUUCUUCCUCUCUGUCCAAGAAAAAAUAUUGUGUCUUUCUUCCUCUCCAAACCUCUCCUCAAUGUUCCAUCCUGUUAUUUUACAGCUCCUCUUAUAUCCCUCCUGUCUCUACUCUGCUCCACUCCAAAACAAACUUUUGAAUAUCCUCUCGUAAUCCGCCAACUUCUCAUUCUGGAUGGCUCUUUUCCACUUUCCCACCAAAACUCUUUAAUUCUCCCAAAAAUUCAACCUAUGUCUUCUUCCUCCACGGUCUCUUUUUCACUUUCCCACCAAAAAUUCUUUUUUUUUUAAACCUAAAUAAAUUAGUAAAUAAAAUAAAAAUAACUAAAAGGGAUUUUGGAAAUAGAAAUGAAAAAAAAAAAUAUAAUAUAGUAUAAUAUAAUAAUAAUAAUAAUAAUAAUAAUAUCAAUAAAAUAAUAAUAAUCUUAAUAAUAAUAAUAAUGAUAAUAGAAACAAUGGUAACAAAAACAAUUCUAAUGAUGAUAAUUAAAAAAAUAAAAUAAAAUGACAAUAAUAAUAAUGAAAAUAUACAAUGAUUAUAUAUAUAUAAGUAGAUAUGAAAAUGAACAAAUAAAUAAAUAAAUAACUAGAUAUAAGUACGCAACAUGUAUUUAUAAAGAAGACAUGCAAGCUACGUAGGCCAUGCAAGCCAUGUUAACCAUGCAAAUGACUUACGGGUGUUGGGGUAAGCUUAAGUGGGAUAAGUGCCUAAUGGGCCUCAAUAUGUCUCAGCAAACUGUCAUAAAAGUGUACCUAAUAUCCAAAAUGGCUCAAAGAAGCAAGUUAUAUGAGUAGCAAUGGGCCACUAAAAACUACUGUGGAGUAAUGAAAGGACACUUAAUCAGGGCAUGGCAAGGGGACAAAAUGGAAACACUCAAAAGAUAAGAUAAAAAGUCACAUACAUUCAAUCAAUAAAAAAUUAAUCAUGUACUAAAAUAUUAAAAAUCAAUCAUGCAAUCACAACUAAAAAAUCAAUUAUAAACUCAAAAUUAAAGUCACAUAUAAUCACAAUUAAUAAUCAAACAGGAACUCAAAAUUAAAAUCAAAUAUUCAAGAUUCAAAUGUGAACUCAAAAUUAAAAUCACUCAUGCACUAAAAAUUAAUCAUGCAAUAAAAUCAAUCACAUGCACUCAAAAUAUCAAAAAUCAUUCAUGUACUUAAAAUAUCAAAAAUCAAUCACACACUAAAAAUCAAAUAACAAACCAAAGCUCAUCUAACCUAAAAACAUGCAAUCAAAAUCAAAAUCAGACGUAAUGCACUAAAAAAAUAGAAACUAAACAACAGAAAGACUCACUAGAAAAUAGACUCCUAAACUAGAACCAGAGCCACUAAAAAAAACCACAAUAAGGAUCCAUAUAAUCCUCGAAGAUAUAUAUAUCCAAAAAAGGUCCAAAAAUAAUGAUAAGGUGAGUAGCAAUAGACCACCAAUGGAGACACAAUAAAAACUAAAAAAUAAAUUCUAAGUGCACAAUGAAGGAUCAUGAUAUGAAGGAAGACAACUACUAGAUAAAAUGUGCCAAGAUGACAAAAUUGAGGGUCUACAAAUUUGUCCAUCUUUGAUAGAAAUCAAGAGUGUAAUGAAUAGAUCACUGAUACACGAGAGAUGAGUGAAAUGAAGUGUCCCAAAUUCCUAAUUAGUAUAGAUUCUUUUUUUUUUUUGUAAAGAAUAUUAUAUAGAAUAUUUCUAGGUUGAUAUAUUAUUGUAAUAUUAGACUUUCUUAUAGAAUAAGGAAGGUUGUUGGAAAUAUCCCUAUAAAUAUUCUAGGUCAUGAGGAGAAAAAGUUAUGAGAUGAAGAUGGGCAUGUAAAGACUAUACAAGGUGGAUAAAGAUGUAAAGAAGAACGGGAGGUACCCGAUGGAGUUAAAAGGCUCGUGGUAGGGUAGGGAUACGAAGAGUGGGGAAACAUAAGAUGUUUCGAGAACCCAAUAAUUGUAUCUGGUUAUGUCCUUUGUAAUGUUCUGGUUUUGUCCUCUAUAAUGUUCUCUAUUGUAGAGUGAAAUAAUUCUCUCUCAUCCGUGGAUGUUGGCAUGGUUGGCCGAACCACGUUAAAACCUCGUGUACCAUGUUAAAACAUCAAAUAAAAAAUAAAGGCUCUGAACACUAAAACUAAGAAGAAUGGAUCUAAACGCCAACACUAGGAAAACAAAUGGCUUUGAAUGCCAAUACUAAAAACAAUGGCUUUGGACGCCAAACUAAAAAUGAUGAGUCUAAAUGCUAAGUAAAAAAAUAAUAGCUCUAAAAGCUAAACCAAAGCUGUAGUUUGUACAUUUCCUAAGAAAAGUUUACUAUAGACCUUCUUUAGAAAGCGCAUAUGCUAGAUUGUUUUGGCAUAGCCACACUUACAUCUAUUAAAGAUUCACUAAUUAUAGAUUAUUUACAAAUUUCAAUCUGAGUAUGACACCUUGGUUGGUACCCUCGAAACCAAAUAUUACUCACGCAGUUAACAAAGUGUGCCAAGACCUCCAUCAACCAAGGCAAAUCUUAAGGAUGUGAAACAAAUCCUAUGUUGUUUAAAAGGUACCCUAGAUUACAACAUUUGCUUAUUGGCUUAAAGUCAAUAUCAUUAUAUGAUUUUGUUGAUUCUAAUUGUCUCCGUUAUCCGAUUACAAUGAGUAGCACCAUUGAUUUUGUGUUUAUCUUGGCAGCAAUUGUAUUUUCUAGUCUUCUAAGAAACAAGAGUCAAUAACAUGCCCUUGAAUAGGGGCAAAGCACCACUCAAGGAUUGCAACUAUUGCAAAAUUAACUUGGCUUAUAUUUCUCUUGUGUGACAUUAGCUUACCACUUCCCCAAUUUCCAUUUCUCUUUUGUGAUAACAUAAGUGCAUUACACAUGGCCAAAAAUCUAGUGUUUCAUGCACAAACAAAGCACAUUGAAUUGGAUUACCAUUUUGCCCGUAAAAAGUUGUUAUAGGACACCUUUAUGCUAAAUAUGUUCCCAGUUAUCUUCAAAUAGCUAACAUUCUUGCCAAGACUCUAGCUAGAAAGGCUUUUAGUAUGUUUAGCUUCAAGUUGGGAGCUCAAUGCAUGACCGCACUAGCUGGAGGGGGUUAAACGUCCUUUACAUUUAUCUCCACAACCAAACAAAUCAAUAGGUCACCUUUUGAGAGAAAUAUGACAAUAUGCAAGUGUAGACCCUCCAUCUUAUUCUAGUAGCAUAUGUUAUUCAAUAUAUUUUCCUUCACUUCUUAUUGCCUUAUAGUUGUCCCAUGGUGGUUUAUUUGUUGCUCAUUUGGUACUAUUUUUUAAGCCACCUUCAAAGAUUCGUUGUUGAUGGAUUUAUUUAUUUAUAUUUUUUUAUGGAUCCCAAUUGUGACCUUAGUUGCAUGCUUAGUCUAACUCCCUUUGUUUACUUAGUUGCAUUUUAGGUUUAGUUCACUUAGUCACAUGCUUAGUCUAGCUCACUUAGUUCACUUAGUUGCAUUUUAGGUUUAGUUCACUUAGUCGCAUGCUUAGUCUAGCUCAGUUAGUUUACUUAGUUGCAUUCUAGGUUCAGCUUACUUAGAUGCAUUCUAGGUUUAGCUCACUUAGAUGCACUUUGGUUUAGUUCCCUUAGAUGCACUUUAGUCUAGCUCCCUCAGGUUCACACAUGAGGGGAUUUUUAGGAAGGAAGAGAUAUAUAUAUAUUUUUUAGGAAAACACGAUUGCAUAUUGCAUGAGGAGAAGAGAUUCAUGCAUAGGAAAAAUUUUAUUUGGAAUAUAUGGGCUACCAUUGAGAGGUAAACUACUAUUAGAGACUAAUUUUGAAAAAAGGAGUUAGAGCCGACACUAAUUGAUCUUGAAGAAAAAAUGAAGCAUCUUGAGAAGAAAAGUUGAAGUUUUGAAGAUCAAGAAGGCAAGACUCAAUGCAGGGAAACAAGAAAGAAGUAAGCUUGCAAUCUUUUGGAGGAAAUGUAUGAUUUUUUUUUCUUGCAUAUCUCAAUUAUAUAUAUCUUUUUUUUUUCCCAUCAUGUUUAAGUGUAGAAAUUCUAUUUGUUUGGGGUAGAUAAUGAAGGCCACUUUGAUUGUUGUUAAUCAAAUUGUUGAUGACAUAUUAAUGAGAAUUUGAUGAAUGGUUAAUUGAUCUCAUGUUGAUUAAUGCUUAUUAGAAUUGAGAUUAGAGUUAUUUUCUUUGGAAUUAUUUUCAUUUGAUUGAGGCCUUUUGAUAACAUAUGAUAGGUGCCUAAGAGAUCCUUUAUUUGAUUUUUUAUGCCUUUGGUUUUAUUUUUGGUUAUUCAUUUUUUAUUGUGAUGUUUGGAGUGUUCACCUUGUUGUCAUUUUGUUAGAAUUAUUGAACCUCUAUAAUUAAAAAAUGGAAUCAGGUUAAAAAUAGAAGAAAAAAAACUCUUUUUCCUACACCUGUUGCACUAACCCCUUUUUGUAGUCAAGGGAAGUUUGGCUUAAUUUAAAAAUUCACAUUGUAUGAUUAAGUCAUGUUGUUAUUUUUUCUGUAAGUUAGAUAUAUUGAAGGUAUUGUACAAUUUUAUUUUUUUAUCAUAAUUUUAUCAUGCUUAUAGAUAGAUUAAUUACAUUAGUAUUUUCAUGCUAUAGGAUUUUGCUCUAUUUCUAAUCAAUAUAUUUGUGAUUAAAUCAAGUAUUAAAUGAGAUAUGAUUUGAUGAUUUAGCCUUUUGGGUUAUAAUUUAGACACAUAGGGGAUGUUGUCCAAGUAUUUUUUAUUCGUUCCCACUUGGUGUAUCAACUGAUUCAUGUCCAGCUGGUGCUCCUUGAUUGAGGGAGUGAUCAACAAAAUUUAUAACCUAUUACACCAUGAACUAGGGUAGCAAAGACAAAGCUACUAUAGCAUAGUGGCUCUAGGAUCGUUCACUGGAAAGGGUUUUCAACUCUCAACUGAUACCAAUUCAAAGCUGAGUUGGUGAUUUUUCAUUUCAAGGUUAGCUUAAAAGAAAACAUAAAGAUGUUUGGGUGAAAAGGGUUUGGUCUUAAACUAACCAAAAAGAAAGUAAUGGAAAUUACUUAUGAAGAAAAACAUUCCUUGGAGGUUUAGGUUCAUAGGGGAGGUUCCUUAUGUAAAAACAGAGCUCCGGUCAUUUGGUUCAUUUCCUCGCAUUAGAGAAUUAACAUAUAGUUAAUUCUCUAACCGGUGCUAUACAGAUGUAUCCUUUAAAUGGAUUUCAAACUCUAAUUCCCUCUCACUGAUGCAUCUUGCAAUGGCUCAUACCUCUCACCUAGCACUUGCCAUUCAAGGUGAUCUUUAACUUUGGAUUACCCGUCAAAAGCUCGCAAGAGAUAACUAAUGGAUGUCUCCUUAGAGUCCAAAAGCUUACCAAUUGUUGGCAAUUCUAGAAAAUCCUACCUACAAGUCACUUCCCAAAAGCUUGCAAGAGGUAAACUAGUGCAUCUCCAUGGAUAGAAAUCACUUGCCUUACCAAGUGUUGGCUCAAGUGAAUUGAAGGCGUUUUAAGUUAACUAAAAACAUAGAAAUCAUUAAAGGAUCACACUUUCUCUUCAUUAAUGGCUAAAACCACAAAGCUAUUAAUUCUUGCACUUGGACCCUUUCCUAGCAACCUUAACUCCAAGGAACUAAAAGUCUAGCCACUCAUUCUCUGAGGAAACUUCCUCAAAGCUUGUUUGGCUAGAAAGAAAACUAAUGAGAAAACAAAUAUUAAGCAAAAACAGAGCAAGUGCUCUAUACAAUAUAUUUCUUCCUUCCGUCUAUUACAUAGAUUCUUCUUUUUCAAGAAAAUUACAAACUAUAUAUAUGAGGUUAUUCACCCUUUUUACUUACUUAAAGAUUAACGAAUCCUAUGAUAGGUGGGUUACAAGGAGACUUUGGGAAAUUAGACAUAAAAUAUCUAAAGCAAAAUAUCUCAAAAUAUCCCAAAAUAUCGUUGGCAAAUAUCAGGAAGCUUCAGGAGCACACAGCAGCACUGUGCAGCAUGGCUGCUCUCCCAUUCAGGUAGGCGGCUAUCAGAUGAUCCGGAUACGUCCGUCCGGAGAAGUUGAAAUGCCUCCUCUCCCAUCCGGCGUCGGAAUUCCGGAUGUGAACAUCCGGGGGUGGAAAGUACGUGGCAGCCGGGUGCAAAAAUGGCGGCGCGCAUCCGGGUGUACAUGGCGGCAGCUGGGUGCAAAUCCUACCCGAGUGGAAUGUUGUCCGAAUGAAAGGAUAGCAUCUUAUCCGGAUGCCUUCCGAUGGUAUAUCCGGACGCACUGUCCGGGUAUACUCCUUGUAUGGAUUCCAAAGAACUCUCCUCAAUCUCAGAUUUGCUUUGGUGAUCAAAAAGCUAUCAAAACACCAAAACUUAACACAAUUUGAUUAGAAUUGAUUGCAAGGGUCCUUAAUAUGUUAAUUGGGUUAAAAGGUAAUAACUACUACUCAAAAGUGUCGAAAAGAGUUAAUUACAAGCUAUGAAAUAGCACUUUUUGAGUAGUAAUCACUCCCCCCAACCGACAUAUUGCUAGUCCCUUAGCAAUGAAGGAGAGACAAAUAAAAAAAUAAACAAUACUAUAAUUUACAACAUCAUGCUAAUCAAAAAACAAUUUUCAAGUGGCAUGAUGAUCUAACUCUCACAUGGAACAUUAAAGAAAUAAAACUCAAACUUCAUCAAGAGUUAUCAAAUAACUUAUCUAAUCAUAAUUCUUAAAGAGAAGGCAUUAUGCAAAUUUAAGCUUUAAAAGAGUUUCCACUCCCAAAGGGUCAAACCUUACUCUUCCACAAAAAUCUAAGUGUUAUUUAUUAGUUUCCGAAUAUAGUAUGUUGAAUUAAUCUCUCCCCCCAACCUAGUUCUUUUUCAAAGCUUAGCAAACUGGUCAACCUCCAAUAGGCUAAGAACACACCUCUUUUCACAAUUUUUUUCAUUGUAGGAGUACACGGCUUAAAGGUAUUCUUUUCUAAAUUGUCCAUGUAACGGGGGUCCAUCGAUGACUCCCAACCAAUUAAGGUUUAGGGCAUCAAGCUUAAAGGAUUUUUCAACCACUAACUCCUUGGAUUUUACCCCGGACUUUUGAGAAUGAAUUUAAAUACCCCAGCACCUACAGUAUGUUAAACUCCACCUAUUCACCCUUGUAACGAGCAUUGAGGUCGAUGACUCCCAACCAAUGAAGGCUUAGGGCACCAGGUUUUAAAGAUUUUCAUCAUAUACCCCUCAGACCUUGCUCGGGUUUCAAGGCAAGCAAACAUUUUUUCUUUCUUUUUUGAAAGACUCAUUGGCCUUUUACAAGGUGUCCCAACACUAUUAAAUGAGGUCAAAGGUACCAAGUCUAAAAUUUUCCUAAGUCAAGAGGGAAAUAGUUUUUCAUCUUAUAAUCGGAACCUAUUGUGCACAGUGUGUGAAUAGCUUAAAGUGGAAGACAUAAGCUUGAAUUCAAUAGAAAUUUCAACAAUUCAUCAACUUUAAUAAGCAUAAUACAAACUCUAAGUCAAGUGAAAAGACAAAAAUUCAAUUUCUCCCAUUUUAUUUUGAAAAUUUUUCCUUAAUAACCAUGGAGAGUAGAAUAAAAACUUAAAAAAUUUUAAAAUUAAGCAAAAAGCAACUAAAUUACCAAAAUAACUUAGCAUUAAUAACAAAACUUCCUUCCUCAACUCUCCCCCCAACCAAGCUGAACAUUGUCCUCAAUGUGACAAAAGCGAUUGAAAAAUAGGGAGGAAGUGGUACCUCCUGAGUGACGCGGAGUGAUGUCGUGGAAAUAAUGACUCAGAUGUCUCUCCUAUAGGAGGCUCCGGAUGAGGAGGCAAUGGCAUGCUCAGGAGCUAAUGUACUGCCAAUUGAUGCUGAAUCUGCCUCAGGAUGGCAGUGUGCUGGGCCUGAGUGGCAAGAAUAUGUUCUUGAUUUUAAUCAUUCAAAAAGAUUAAGCUAGUUACAAUUUACAAAAUUUCAAGACUAAAAUUACAAUCAAAUAAUUUACAAAACUUAAAAAUUAACAUAUUUAACAAAAUUAUGGACUUUGGUGAAACCAAGUCCAUCUAACCCUUCUCUGUUCAGGAUUUCUGUGGCUCAAGGAGGUUGAUUUCCUCCUUUUCUGGAUUGAACGGUUCAAUGAAUGGCUUGAGGCGAUGACCAUUGACUCUGAAGGUGUCUAUGCCAUUGGAAUUUAAUAAUUCCACCACUCCAUUGAAAUGUACUUGGUGAAUAAUGAAAGGACCUAUCCACCUUGACUUGAGCUUUCCGGGAAAGAUAUGGAGCCUUGAGUCAUAGAGUAAGACUAGUUGUCCUUUCCUCAAUUCUUUGUUGGAGAUUAGUUGAUCAUGCCAUUUCUUCAUCCUCUGUUUUGCAACUUUGGAAUUGAUGUAAGCAUCAUUUCUUAACUCCUCCAUCUCAUUAAGGUCUAAGCACCUCUUUUCCCCAGCUCUGAUCAAGUCCAUGUUCAACCUCUUGAUUGCCCACCAGGCUUUAUAUUCAACUUCCACAGGGAGAUGGCAUGCUUUGCCAUAGACUAGACGAUAGGGAGACAUGCCAAGAAUAGUCUUAUAAGCUGUUCUGUAUGCCCAUAAUGAAUCAUGAAGCUUAAUAGAUCAAUCUUUUCUGCUUGUAAUCACCACUUUCAUCAGUAUGUUUUUGAUUUCCCUGUUUGCUAACUCCACUUGCCCGGAAGUUUGAGGAUGAUAAGGUGUAGCUACCUUAUGCUUCACUCCAUACUUGGUUAAUAAGGCUUCAAAAGGUUUGUUGCAAAAAUGAGUACCUCCAUCACUGAUUAUGGCCUUGGGCACCCCAAAUCUUGAGAAGAUGUUCUCCUUAAGAAAUUUGAGAACCACCCUGUGAUCAUUCUGUUUACAGGGGAUUGCCUCCACCCAUUUGGAAACAUAGUCCACCCCCACCAAUAUAUAGGAGUUACCAAAAGACAUUGGGAAAUGUCCCAUGAAGUCAAUACCCCAAACAUCAAAAAGAUCAACUAUAAGGAUGGGGUUCAUAGGCAUUUAAUUUCUUUUUGUUAGCUUCCCAAGCCUUUGGCAUCUAUCACAGCUCCUACACAUGAUGUGGGCAUCUUUGAAAAGCGAUGGCCAAGUAAACCCUGAUUGCAACACCUUCAUGGCUAUUUUCUGAGAGGCAAAGUGGCCUCCACAUGCAUUUUCAUGGCAAUGACUGAGGAUCCCUUGUUGCUCUUCUUCAGGGACACACUUUCUUAUGAUCUGAUCUGCACAAUACUUGAAAAGGAAAGGCUCCUCCCAAUAAUAAGCAUGAAUUUUUGCAAAGAAGUGCUUCCUGUCUUGUGCAUUCCACUCACUUGGAACUUCACCAAUAACCAAAUAGUUAGCAAUAUAAGCAUACCAAGGAGCUUUCUCUAGCAACAUAAGUGAUUCCUCAGGAAAGUCAUCAUUAAUAGGUAAUACAUGGGAAUUAUGUGCUAUAGCCAACCUUGAAAGGUGGUCAGCUACCACAAUCUCCACCCCUUUCUUGUCUCUGAUUUGGAGAUCGAACUCUUGUAACAAAAGAAUCCAUCUAAUCAACCUUGCUUUUGCAUCUUGCUUUGUCAAUAAAUACUUCAAGGCUGAAUGGUCAGUGAAAACAGUGAUGAAAGACCCUACCAAAUAAGCAUGAAACUUGUCUAAGGCAAACACCACAACUAACAAUUCUUUCUCUGUAGUUGUGUAGUUUCUUUGAGCUUCGUUCAAUGUCUUGCUUGCAUAAUAGAUCACGUAGGGCUUCCCAUCUUCUCUUUGGCCAAGUACAGCUCCUAUAGCAAAGUCACUGGCAUCACACAUUACUUCAAAGGGUAAUUGUCAGUUAGGAGCCCUUACUAUUGGAGCGGUAGUAAAAAAUUGCUUCAAUUGAUCAAAACUCUUUUGACAUCUUUCAUCCCAUAUAAACUUAGCAUCCUUAGCCAAAAACUCACAAAGAGGCCUUGACAGCUUAGAGAAAUCUUGUAUAAACCUCCUGUAGAACCUUGCAUGGCCAAGGAAUUGCCUUACUCCUUUGACAGUGGUUGGGGAUGGCAAUUUGGCAAUACGUUCCACCUUUGCUUUAUCAACUUCAAUGCCUUUCUCGGAGAUGAUAUGGCCAAGGACAAUUCCUUGACGUACCAUAAAAUGACAUUUCUCCUAGUUGAGCACCAAGUCCUUCUCAAUGCAUCUGUUAAGAACUGCUUCCAAAUUGACUAAGCAUUCCUCAAAUGUACCUCCAUAUACGGUGAUGUCAUCCAUGAAAACCUCCAUAAUUCGCUCCACCAUAUCACUGAAGAUACUAAGCAUACAUCUUUGGAAUGUUACAGGUGCAUUGCAUAAACCAAACGACAUUCUUCUGUAAGCAUAUGUUCCAAAUGGACAUGUAAAAGUGGUCUUCUCCUGAUCUUCAACAUCAAUUUCAAUUUGAAAAUAUCCGGAGUACCCGUCCAAGAAACAAUAAAAAGGAUGGCCAGAGACUCUCUCCAGCACCUGGUCAAUAAAUGGGAGUGGAAAAUGAUUUUUCCUUGUCACAGCAUUCAAUUUCCUAUAGUCAAUACACACCCUCCAACCUGAAGUGAGGCGUGUAGCAAUUUCUUCUCCUUUUUCGUUCUGAACCACAGUAAUACCUGACUUCUUUAGUACCACUUGAGUAGGACUCACCCAAGGGCUGUCAGAUAUGGGAUAAAUAAUACCUGCUUGGAGUAGCUUCAGCACUUCAGCUCGCACCACUUCUUGUAAAUGAGGAUUCAAUCUUCUUUGAGGUUGACGAAUUGGUUUAGCUUCUUCCUCCAUAUAUAUGUAAUGUGUACAAACCAAAGGACUGAUUCCUUUCAAGUCAGAUAUUUGCCAUCCUAUUGCUUUCUUGCACCUCUUGAGAACUUCAAGUAAACACUUCUCGCGAUGACUAGUAAGAGAUGAAGAUAUAACAACAGGACAUUGAUUAUUUUCUUCAAGGUAUGUAUAUUUCAGUUCCACGGGCAGAGGCUUCAAAUUGAGCUUUGGGGUCUCUUCUUCAGCAGCUUCUCCUUCCUCUUUAUUGAAUAAAGGUAGGAUCUCUUCUUUCCUCCUCCAACUUUGUAGAGUAGCAAGCAUAUCAGCGGGUUCAGACAACCCUUCUUCAAGAUCCUUAAGACUUUCAUUCAACUCGUCUUGCAUAUUCUGAUCACAAUGCUCCUCCACUAGAGUGUCAAUAAUGCAUACCUCUUCUGGACCUUCUUCUUCUUCCGGAGUAAUCAGCUUCUUUGACAUAUGAAAGAUAUUAAGCUCAAGUGUCAUGUUACCAAAAGUAAGUUGCAUAAGUCAAUUCCUACAAUUUAUGAUUGCAUUUGAAGUAGCAAGGAAUGGCCUUCCAAGGAUGAUAGGAACAUAAUUAGCUUCCUUAACUAAAGGAUCAGUAUCAAGAACAAUAAAAUCUACUGGAUAGUAGAAAUUAUCAACUUGAACUAAUACAUCUUCAAUUAUCCCCCUUAGAAUUUUCACUGACCUAUCAGCUAAAGAUAGGGUGAUUGAUGUUGGCUUCAACUCACCAAGUCCCAAUUGCUUAUAAAUAGAGUAUGGUAGCAAAUUCACACUUGCUCCCAAAUCUAGCAAAGCUUUUUCCACUACCUUUCCUCCAAUCAUGACUGAAAUGGUAGGACAUCCCAGAUCUUUGUACAUCAAAGGAGAUUUUCAUUGUAUGAUGGCACUUACUUGUUCAGUUAAGAAGGCUUUCUUAUUCACAUUCAACCCUCUUUUGAUAGUACAAAGGUUCUUUAGGAAUUUUGCAUAUGAUGGAACUUGCUUAAUCAUGUCCAGCAAUGGAAUGUUGACUUUCACUUGGCUCAAUACUUCAAGGAUUUCUGAUGCAUUUUUUAUCCCCUUUUCCCAUGCAAAGCUUGAGGAAAAUGAGGAGAUGUACGUUUCAUCAUCAAUUCUUCCUUGAUAAGCUAUUUCUCCAGAUUUGCAUUCACUGUUGAAUCACGGUCCUUUUUCCCUUCACUGAUAUCUUUCUUCUUUCCUUUCAUUUCCCCCCUCUUAUUUGUCUCUUCUUCUUCCUUCUCUUCAACAUAUGGCUUGGGUGUUGGUGACUCAACCUUUUUACCACUCCUUAGAGUGAUCAAGGCUUUAACCUCUCUCACCUGUGAAGAUUCUCCCUCAUGAGUUUCCACUUCGUGGAUACCCUUGGGGUUUUGGUGAGGUUGAGAAGGAAAUCUACCCUUCUCCUGCACUGUGUUCAUAUUAGUGAGCCUUGAGAUUGAGUAUUGGAGAUUAUCUAUCUUCUGAGAUAAGUCAUUUUGCAGCCCAUCAAUCCUUUUGUUCAAAGUAUUCUCUACACUGUCAAUUCUUUGACUGAGCUGAGCAUUGAUGGAUUUUUGUUCUCCAACAAAAUCUCCCACAAUCUUGCUGAGAUUUACUAUUGCUUGUUCAAGACUUGAAGCUUGUUGAGAUGGUUGAGCUGGCUGUUGGUACUGAGGUGCUCUCGGCUUCCAUGAAAAAUUUGGAUGAUUCCUCCAACUUGAGUUGUAAGUAUCGCCAUAUGAAGCAUUGCUAUUGGGCUUGAAUUUUCCAAUGACAUUUGCUUGUUCUCCAAACAUUUCUCUAGCAACUGGAAUUGUAGGGCACUCCUCUACCAAGUGUUCAUAAGAUUGACAAAUAGAACAUGGCUUUACUUGCAUUGGUGUUUCAGCAACAGCUUGCACUUCAUUCAUCUUUUUCAGUUCUAGCGCUUCCACUCUUCUUGUCAUAGUUGCAAAUUUUGCUUUCAUUUCAACAUCUUCAUUCAAGGUGUACAUCCCAGCCUUAGCAUGAAGAGCAUUUGGUUGAGACUUCAUCUUUCCCACUUCUCCUCUGUGCGGUUCAUCCCAUCCUCUUGAGACUUCAGCUACAUAACUCAAGAAAUCCAUAGCUUCCUCAUGAUUCUUACUCAUGAAAUCCCCUCCACACAUUGUUUCGAGGAGUUGCUUCAUUGAGGAAGACAUCCCAUCAUAGAAAUAACUCACCAACAGCCAUGUGUCAAAGCCAUGGUGAGGACAAGCAUUAAUGGCUUCCAUGUAUCUUUCCCAACACUCAUAGAAUUUCUCAUUCUCUUUAGCUGAGAAGUUUGAAAUUUUCCUUUUCAAGCUAUUUGUUCUGUGAGUGGGAAAAAAUUUCUUGAGGAAUUCAGCUUGUAAAUCAGUCCAAGAACGGAUACUCCUUGGCCUUAAAGAAUUAAGCCAAAUCUUGGCCUUAUCCUUUAAAGUAAAAGGAAAUAAUUUAAGCCUCAUCAGGUCGAUAGAAGCUCCUCCCUCUCGGAAUGUAUUACAAACAUAUUCAAAUUCCUUGAUAUGGGCAUAGGGAUUCUCACUUUCCAUUCCAUGGAAAGUUGGCAGAAGUGGCACAAUAUGGGGUCUGAUCACUAGCUGCUCUAUAGAGGGCACUAUACAUGAUGGUGCACUCAUACGAGGUGGAUGCAUACGGUCCCUCAUUGAUCUGAAUUCAUUGGGAUUGUCCUGAUGAUCAUGGUGACUAUGCUGAUCCUCAGGUGUAGUUUCCAUGAUGUUCAAGAUUACUUCCAACUCCUUGUUAUGAGGUGUAUUAAGUUUAACAAGCCUUCCUCCAUUGUCUCGUAUCCACUUUGGCAUACACAACUAGUAUCAACUGUAACUAAAAUGAAAUUAAAAGAAAACAAAAGAAAACAGGGCUACCAAAAUUUUUUUUCUAAAAUAGACUAAACUGAAUUUAAAAGAUAUAUUAGAUUAUGAACAAGUAAAGAUACAAAAAAAUAGAAUUAGUAAAAUGAAAGAAAAGUUACCAAACUUGUGAUGAAAAUCACAAGUACUCUGAAAUAAUAUCACUAUGAAGUUGGCACCUUCCCCGGCAACGGCGCCAUUUGAUUCGUUCCCACUUGGUGUAUCAGCUGAUUCAUGUCCAACUGGUGCUCCUUGAUUGAGAGAGUAAUCAACAAAAUUUAUAACCUAUUACACCAUGAACUAGGGUAGCAAAGACAAAGCUACUAUAGCAUAGUGGCUCUAGGAUCGUUCACUGGGAAGGGUUUUCAACUCUCAACUGAUACCAAUUCAAAGCUGAGUUGGUGAUUUUUCAUUUCAAUGUUAGCUUAAAAGAAAACAUAAAGAUGUUUGGGUGAAAAGGGUUUGGUCUUAAACUAACCAAAAAGAAAGUAAUGGAAAUUACUUAUGAAGAAAAACAUUCCUUGGAGGUUUAGGUUCAUAGGGGAGGUUCCUUAUGUAAAAACAGAGCUCCGGUCAUUUGGUUCAUUUCCUCGCAUUAGAGAAUUAACAUAUAGUUAAUUCUCUAACCGGUGCUAUACAGAUGUAUCCUUUAAAUGGAUUUCAAACUCUAAUUCCCUCUCACUGAUGCAUCUUGCAAUGACUCAUACCUCUCACCUAGCACUUGCCAUUCAAGGUGAUCUUUAACUUUGGAUUACCCGUCAAAAGCUCACAAGAGAUAACUAAUGGAUGUCUCCUUAGAGUCCAAAAGCUUACCAAGUGUUGGCAAUUCUAGAAAAUCCUACCUACAAGUCACUUCCCAAAAGCUUGCAAGAGGUAAACUAGUGCAUCUCCAUGGAUAGAAAUCACUUGCCUUACCAAGUGUUGGCUCAAGUGAAUUGAAGGCGUUUUAAGUUAACUAAAAACAUAGAAAUCAUUAAAGGAUCACACUUUCUCUUCAUUAAUGGCUGAAACCACAAAUCUAUUAAUUCUUGCACUUGGACCCUUUCCUAGCAACCUUAACUCCAAGGAACUAAAAGUCUAGCCACUCAUUCUCUGAGGAAACUUCCUCAGAGCUUGUUUGGCUAGAAAGAAAACUAAUGAGAAAACAAAUAUUAAGCAAAAACAGAGCAAGUGCUCUGUACAAUAUAUUUCUUCCUUCCGUUUAUUACAUAGAUUCUUCUUUUUCAAGAAAAUUACAAACUAUAUAUAUGAGGUUAUUCACCCUUUUUACUUACUUAAAUAUUAAGGAAUACUAUGAUAGGUGGGUUACAAGGAGACUUUGGGAAAUUAGACAUAAAAUAUCUAAAGCAAAAUAUCCCAAAAUAUCAUUGGCAAAUAUCAGGAAGCUUCAAGAGCACACAGCAGCACUGUGCAGAAUGGCUGCUCUCCCAUUCAGGUAGGUGGCUAUCAGAUGAUCCGGAUACGUCCGUCCGGAGAAGUUGAAACGCCUCCUCUCCCAUCCGGCGUCAGAAUUCUGGAUGUGAACAUCCGGGGGUGGAAAGUACGCGACAGCCGGGUGCAAAAAUGGCGGCGCGCAUCCGGGUGUACAUGGCGGCAGCUGGGUGCAAAUCCUACCCGAGUGGAAUGUUGUUCGGAUGAAACGAUAGCAUCUUAUCCGGAUAUGUUGUCUGGAUGCCUUCCGAUGGUAUAUCCGGACGCACUGUCCGGGUAUACUCCUUGUAUGGAUUCCAAAGAACUCUCCUCAAUCUCAGAUUUGCUUUGGUGAUCAAAAAGCUAUCAAAACACCAAAACUUAACACAAUUUGAUUAGAAUUGAUUGCAAGGGUCCUUAAUAUGUUAAUUGGGUUAAAAGGUAAUAACUACUACUCAAAAGUGUCAAAAAGAGUUAAUUACAAGCUAUGAAAUAGCACUUUUUGAGUAGUAAUCAAUUUUCAUGGUGAAAUUUCAUCUCUAGAUAUAUGUUUAGGAUAUAUUUUGCAAGUGUCUUUGUUCUAGAUGCAUGCCAAUUGUUCUGUAAAGUGUCCUUAAAGUGAAUUAAUUUGGUAUUGAUUGACACGUAAUUAAAUGUUUUGGGAUUUUGUAUUGCAAUAUAGACACAUUGAAGAUGUUGUCAAUAAAGUAGUGAUUUUGGCACUGCAGGGCUCUUCAAUUUCUUUCUUCAUUUUUCAAUUUGCACGAAUGUGGAAACUUUUACACAUGAAUCAUUUGCUACAAUAAUGAUCAUGCAUGUAAAUUUGGUCUACUUUUCCCAUUCUCUAUAAUUGAUUAGCUUUGGAGCUGUUUGACAAUAAUAUAUAGGAAACCUCUGAUGCAGGCUUCUGACAUUAAAAUGAGCUAAAGAUGGGUUUGGAAACCACUUUCAAAUGAAAAUUGACAUGCAUAAUUUUUGGUGUAUUUGACACAUGCAAUAAAAAUUACUUAAAUAGGAGUGACUUUGUCACAUGGCUUCGGAUGGAAUUACAGCACAGUAUUGGAAUUAGUAUUCAAAUGGCUGCCCUAUGGAGAGUUUUUUAGGUCUCAAUCUUAACAGUAUAGGUUGACCACUCGGAAAUUGGGACCACAACCUAGCCUAGGCUUGAUCCAAGCACUACUUAGAGACACAUUUCACUUAACUUCUUUGAUCUGUUACUUGUAUUUAUUGUGACACUUAGGUGGUGUUUGUUUUUUGGCUGAACAAAAAAAGUAAAAAUAUUUGGUUUUUUCUAUUCAGUUAAAAAUAACAUGUUGACAUCAUCCAACAUAACUAAACUGAACCUAUUGAUAACAAGUUCAUUUUAGCUAUGUUGGAUGAUGUCAACAAGUUACUUUUAGCUUAAUAGAAAAAGCCAAAUAUUUUGGCUUUUUCUAUUCAGCCAAAAAACAAACACCACCUAAGUUGCUUCUUGUUUAUCUGAUCUAGGAAGCUUGUUUUGUCAAAGAAGCAAGACCUUCCGAUGUUUAUGGAUGAACUCCUCUUGUCAGCAUUGGUUCUAACUUUGGUCCAUUUUUCCCAUUCUCUAUAAUUGAUUAGCUUAGGAGCUGUAUGGAGAGGAAAAUGACAUGGGUCGGUGUUUGACAAUAACAGGAAACCUCUGAUGCAACAUUGGUUCAUUAAUAUUCACCAAAAAGUGAACAAGCUUGGAGCCUUCGGUAGAUAUUUUACAAAGCCUUCUGUACUGUUAUCUUAUGCUAAGUACUGAAUAUAAAUGUUGUUGAGGGUACCACCAGUGACAUGCAGAUGCAAUGUUUAUUUUGAGAACGCCAACGGCAUAGUGCAUCAACGGAUAUUUGAGUUUUCCGAGAAGGAGGCCUUUACAUCAUCGACCAGAUCUGGAUUAUUUGAAUUUAGUACGGUCCUGCUAUUGUUUUAUUCUCUUGCACAAACCAUUCUUCAAAAUAUGUUAUCAUGACAUAGAUAAACUUUUCAUUUGCUUAACAUUGUUUAAAGGGCUUGACAUUGCUCAACAUUAUCUGAGCUUUUCUCCUACAGAUACUUCUUUGGCAUGGCAAUGCAACCAGACUUAAGGCGAUGGCACUCACUUACAUACUCUGCAAGAGCCCACAAUGGAAAAAUAUUCCUGUAAUCUGCAUAGUGUAACAAGCAGUUCUUCAUGAAGGCUCCAGUGAUUUCCUGCCAUAGAUAAUUGAUGAUUAAAUGGUUAGACUCCCACCCAGUAUAUAUAGUCAGCUACAAAAGAACAUUUUCCAUUUCCCAAAACCAUGUUAAAAUGUUGCUCCUUUAGUUUUUUAUUCAUGUUCAAGUGAGCUACCUGUUGGGGAAAAUCACCAUCUUCCAUUUGGGAAUUAAUAAACAGCUUUGCAGCCCUGUGAAGAGGUGUUGGGUCUCUCUCCGCCUGUUAGAAAGGAAAGGCUAGACUCAGAUGUUUGGGGAGAAGCCAUAUUGUGAAAGUAAUGUAGAAGACCAAGUUAAGCUUAUUGAUGACGGAACUGUAAAAACUAACCUGCCCUGAAGAAAGCAGCCCCAUCAGAGCCCACCCGGUUUGCACCAAAUUUGACUUGUUUCCUUCAAGAGGCAUAUAUUUCUAUAUCACCAAGCACAAGGAUUACUUGUUUUUGUCCAUGUUUCUACCAGAAAAUAGAGCAGUGGGUGGCAUGUAAAAAUUACCUUGUCCGAGCAAGAAGUACAGUUCUCUCCCCAACCACCAUCAUCUCUUUGUGAUUUGAGUAGAAACUCAACAGCUCUACCAAUAGCAAGACAGUUGUGGUAAGUCUUGCCAGCAGCUGCUAGGCCCCCAAGCGCAAACCAUGAGCCAUAGGUGAAACAUACUCCCCAAUUGCCAUACCUGGUGAAAUGUUUCUUUGUUUAAAUGGAUCUGCACUGCAUAUAUAUAAAAAUAUUUCCCUAGUGAAAUAAUAAUAGUGGAGUUGAGAAAC
RNAcentral lists this long non-coding RNA (34536 nucleotides) under Vitis vinifera (wine grape). RNAcentral's name for it is "long non-coding RNA (VVIN_LNC003054)". Lineage: Eukaryota; Viridiplantae; Streptophyta; Magnoliopsida; Vitales; Vitaceae. The record is from RNAcentral.